GUGGGGAAUCUUGCGCAAUGGGCGAAAGCCUGACGCAGCCAUGCCGCGUGAAUGAUGAAGGUCUUAGGAUUGUAAAAUUCUUUCACCGGGGACGAUAAUGACGGUACCCGGAGAAGAAGCCCCGGCUAACUUCGUGCCAGCAGCCGCGGUAAUACGAAGGGGGCUAGCGUUGCUCGGAAUUACUGGGCGUAAAGGGCGCGUAGGCGGACAGUUUAGUCAGAGGUGAAAGCCCAGGGCUCAACCUUGGAAUUGCCUUUGAUACUGGUUGUCUUGAGUACGGGAGAGGUGAGUGGAACUCCGAGUGUAGAGGUGAAAUUCGUAGAUAUUCGGAAGAACACCAGUGGCGAAGGCGACUCACUGGCCCGUUACUGACGCUGAGGCGCGAAAGCGUGGGGAGCAAACAGGAUUAGAAACCCCGGUAGUCC
RNAcentral lists this ribosomal RNA (425 nucleotides) under uncultured bacterium. RNAcentral's name for it is "partial 16S ribosomal RNA". It matches the Rfam family "Bacterial small subunit ribosomal RNA", at positions 354 to 796 of the family's 1533-position model. The record is from RNAcentral.